Long non-coding RNA from Carassius gibelio (silver crucian carp), 269 nucleotides. RefSeq lists it as uncharacterized. The record is from RefSeq and is a predicted model, not a curated record. NCBI's taxonomy places the organism in Eukaryota, Metazoa, Chordata, Actinopteri, Cypriniformes, Cyprinidae. The transcript has 3 exons.
GAGUUGUUCUGGACCUGCAGAGGCAUAUUCUCUGGUGACUUCUGUCGCAGCAACAUCUCAGCCCAUAUCUGAAGGUGAUUUGGUCAACAAACAACAGAAAAAGGGAAAUCUGGAGGAAAAUGAGAAUGUUUAUCACCUGUACUCCACAAUCCCUGACAAACCAGUUCUUUCAAACGCAGAAGAUCACAUGUACAGUUUGGUGGACAUGCACUGAUGAAUCUCAUGUCUGUGUUUAUUAUGUACAGCCACUAUACUGCAAAUAAAAUAUC